Molecule: small nucleolar RNA, 81 nt
Organism: Aureobasidium pullulans
Lineage: Eukaryota; Fungi; Ascomycota; Dothideomycetes; Dothideales; Saccotheciaceae
Rfam family: A. fimigatus snoRNA Afu_298
Source: Rfam
GCGGAUGAUUAUACAUUUUUAACCCCGAGAUUUUUAAUGAAGAUCAAAACGCAACAACAACACUCUAAUUUUUUCAUGACG